This 504-nucleotide ribosomal RNA is filed under the name uncultured bacterium. RNAcentral's name for it is "partial 16S ribosomal RNA". It matches the Rfam family "Bacterial small subunit ribosomal RNA", at positions 355 to 849 of the family's 1533-position model. The record is from RNAcentral.
UAGGGAAUCUUCCACAAUGGACGCAAGUCUGAUGGAGCAACGCCGCGUGAGUGAAGAAGGUCUUCGGAUCGUAAAGCUCUGUUGUUGGUGAAGAAGGAUAGAGGCAGUAACUGGUCUUUAUUUGACGGUAAUCAACCAGAAAGUCACGGCUAACUACGUGCCAGCAGCCGCGGUAAUACGUAGGUGGCAAGCGUUGUCCGGAUUUAUUGGGCGUAAAGCGAGCGCAGGCGGAAUGAUAAGUCUGAUGUGAAAGCCCACGGCUCAACCGUGGAACUGCAUCGGAAACNGUCAUUCUUGAGUGCAGAAGAGGAGAGUGGAACUCCAUGUGUAACGGUGGAAUGCGUAGAUAUAUGGAAGAACACCAGUGGCGAAGGCGGCUCUCUGGUCUGCAAACUGACGCUGAGGCUCGAAAGCAUGGGUAGCGAACAGGAUUAGAUACCCUGGUAGUCCAUGCCGUAAACGAUGAGCGCUAGGUGUUGGGGACUUUCCGGUCCUCAGUGCCGC